AGUGAACGCUGGCGGCGUGCUUAACACAUGCAAGUCGAACGAGAACGGGUUAUAGCUUGCUAUAAUUGUCAGCUAAGUGGCGCACGGGUGAGUAAUGUAUAGGUAAUAUGCCUCUUACUAAGGGAUAACAAAUGGAAACGUUUGCUAAUACCUUAUACUCCUUUUAAACAGAAGUUUAAAAGGGAAAGAUUUAUUGGUAAGAGAUUAGCCUGUAUUGUAUCAGUUAGUUGGUGGGGUAAUGGCUUACCAAGACUAUGACACAUAACUGGUUUGAGAGGAUGAUCAGUCACACUGGAACUGAGACACGGUCCAGACUCCUACGGGAGGCAGCAGUGGGGAAUAUUGCACAAUGGACGAAAGUCUGAUGCAGCAACGCCGCGUGGAGGAUGACACAUUUCGGUGCGUAAACUCCUUUUGUAUGAGAAGAUAAUGACGGUAUUAUAUGAAUAAGCACCGGCUAACUCCGUGCCAGCAGCCGCCGUAA
Molecule: ribosomal RNA, 484 nt
Filed under: uncultured bacterium
Lineage: Bacteria
Description: partial 16S ribosomal RNA
Rfam family: Bacterial small subunit ribosomal RNA
Source: RNAcentral